CACGUUCCUGGUGAUUAUCACCCACGUGACCCCGAGCGACUCGACGGGGCCGGCACCAUGCGUCGUGGAGCCCAUUUCAAGCUGGACCAACUCCUCCUUCAACGAUCCCAGCCACUUGUCCUUGCGCGAGGCGGCUGAGUUGGUGCGACGGCAAACAGGCGAUGCCCAGCGCCACCAGUCGUUCCUGCUCUCUUCGUCAAUGGCAGUCGUGUACUACAGCAUCGACGAGGACGCCGACAGGAACGCUGAACUCAAGGAGGUCCCAUGCACGGGUGCCUCUGUCUCCUCGUACGCAACGGUGUGCACUACCGAGAUGGGUUGGAAGGUGGGCGCGGAGGGGAUCGGCGACCACGUGCGCUACGAACAGUUCUCCGAGAUGGGCAAGUGGCGCACGUACAAGACGAGGCCGCACCUGGCUGCA
Long non-coding RNA from Rhipicephalus sanguineus (brown dog tick), 421 nucleotides. RefSeq lists it as uncharacterized. The transcript has 3 exons. NCBI's taxonomy places the organism in Eukaryota, Metazoa, Arthropoda, Arachnida, Ixodida, Ixodidae. The record is from RefSeq and is a predicted model, not a curated record.